CAUUGUCUGUGCUUAAGAAUCCCAUCAUGCUUCCAGUUUCAUACACAAUCUCUAUACUUGUCCCAUUUGGUUUAUAUGUGCUGGAUUUGCUGCUGUUGUAUUGAUUAUGCCAAGCUGCAAGAAACCAGAAUUUUGAGAAAAACUUGCACUCCAGGUUCCCUACCCUUCCACAAGAAAUUUUCCUACCACAAAAAUAUCCACUCAACAGUGGUUGGCGUUGAGCACACAUCAAUGCGACUGCAAACAGCACAUCAAACCUAGCUGGAAAUUCAUGAGCUGACACUGCAGAAAAGUGGAAUUUUACAAGUCUCAAUUUUUACUUUUAUUUGAUCGACAUCUAGCAAGAGACACUAACGCAACCAUGACACGUCAAGAAUUAUUGAAAACCUUUCACACUCUCGGUGCAAAGCGACAUUAUUACAUGCUGUGUCAAGUUACUAUGUAAUUUACACAUACAUUCUCCCUGUUGCUGAAUAAUUGCUUUGUUUGUGAAUCACUAAGAAAAACUAGGUUUCUGUAUUUCUAUAUAUUUUUUUUAGUAUCUAUACUACCCUUAAAAAAAUCUUCAAAAAAUAAAAUUUUAAAACCAUUUCUUCUUAAAUAUAAAUGAUCAGUAUCCUAUGAGAAACAAAAUCAUUUAGUCUUUUGCUAAUUUACUGUUUAAAAAAACAAAAAAUACCAAAUUAAUCACCUGCAAAAUAAUAAUAAGUGUCCCUGUAAAGAUUAUAAAUAAUUUAUAAACAAUUUAUGUACAGUGUCUGCUAAUCAGCAAAAUGUGUUUUAUUGGUGUAAACUUCAACUGAAAGCUAAUAAUUAUCUUACCAAUGUAUUUAUUUAUUUAUUCUAUUUAUUCGGUAUAAAACACUCAAAAGGUAACAAAAGUUGAAAUUUUUUUGAGUUGACUUAAAAUAAUGAAUUUAAUAUAUCUUAAGCUGUAAGGAAAGAUAAAGAAAAAGACGCAAAUUCAUGCACAGAAAAAAGACAAGAAAAAAAUGCAGUACCAAAGCCAAUUCUAAUCUUUACACACAAAUGGAAACUGACGCAGCCCAUUUCUUAAAAAUGAUGAGUUUGCUAGCUGUCAAUCAAAGCAGUAUAUGAUACACUAUCUAUGGUCCCAUCUGAGAAUAAUUAUCUAUUAUUCACCAUUUAUCUGCUUAUUUGUUAAAAUGUCUUCCUUUUUUGUCUAUCAGUGGAAACACCUUGUACUCAUCUACGUAUAGUGAAUUCCACUGUGUAUAAUUUGAUCCGUCGAUAUAAAAUGAAAAUGAAAUUAAUUAUAAUAAAUUUAAAAUACCAUGUUAAAAGAUUCAAAAAUUGGCAUAUAAAAAAUGUAUUUUAUGGUUUACACAACACUAAUAUAUUGCAUGCAUAUUAUUGCUCUAAAAAUGAAGUAAGAGAAAACACACAACCAACCAAAAAAAUCUGAAAAAUCUUUAGUCGGCUUAUUUUUUGUUUAUUUUUUUACCAAGGAUGAGGGUGAGCGAUGGUUGGUUGGUGAUAGGUAUAGGCCAUGGACAUACAUCAAUUGAGACCUGUUGAUUUUUAUGUAUAAACUGGUCAAAUUAAGCUAAAAUUUAUUCAAAAUAUCAUGUAGUAAUUGCCUUAACCAAAAACAGACUGACACAGGUUUUCAAGUGUCACCAGUGGC
Long non-coding RNA from Anneissia japonica, 1648 nucleotides. RefSeq lists it as uncharacterized. NCBI's taxonomy places the organism in Eukaryota, Metazoa, Echinodermata, Crinoidea, Comatulida, Comatulidae. The transcript is spliced from 3 exons. The record is from RefSeq and is a predicted model, not a curated record.